Aedes albopictus (Asian tiger mosquito) is the source of this 73-nucleotide non-coding RNA. Lineage: Eukaryota; Metazoa; Arthropoda; Insecta; Diptera; Culicidae. The record is from Rfam.
CUCCUGUUAGCCUAGUGGUUAAGGCUAUAGAUCGCCAAUCCGAAGACGGCGGGUUCGAUUCCCGUUCUGGGCA